This 253-nucleotide ribosomal RNA is filed under the name uncultured bacterium. RNAcentral describes it as "partial 16S ribosomal RNA". It matches the Rfam family "Bacterial small subunit ribosomal RNA", at positions 524 to 776 of the family's 1533-position model. The record is from RNAcentral.
UACGGAGGGUGCAAGCGUUGUCCGGAAUCACUGGGCGUAAAGGGCGCGUAGGCGGCUCAUGAAGGCUGUGGUGAAAGUCCGGGGCUCAACCUCGGAUCGGCCGUGGCGACUCGUGGGCUGGAGCACUGUAGAGGCGGGUGGAAUUCCGGGUGUAGCGGUGGAAUGCGUAGAGAUCCGGAAGAACACCGGUGGCGAAGGCGGCCCGCUGGGCUGUUGCUGACGCUGAGGCGCGACAGCGUGGGGAGCAAACAGG